GACGAACGCUGGCGGCGUGCUUAACACAUGCAAGUCGAACGAUGAAGAAGAGAGACGCGCACUUCGGUUCAAAUUUCACUUCGGAUUAGUGGCAGACGGGUUAGUAACGCGUGAGCAACCUACCUCUUACAAAGGGAUAGCCUCGGGAAACCGUGAUUACUACCAUCUGACACAUUCAUAAGGCAUCUUAAGAAUGUUAAAGCUACGGCGGUAAGAGAUGGGCUCGCGUCCCAUUAGCUAGUUGGUGAGGUAACGGCGCACCAAGGCGACGAUGGGUAGCCGGUCUGAGAGGGUGAACGGUCACAGUGGAACUGAGACACGGUCCAAACUCCGACGGGAAGCAGCAGUGGGGAAUAUUGCACAAUGGAGGGAACGCGGAUGCAGCGACGGCGCGUGAGCGAUGAAGGAAUUCGGUUCGUAAAGCUCUGUUCUAGGGGAAGAAAAGGACGGUACCAGAGGAGAAAGCCCCGGCUAAAUACGUG
Molecule: ribosomal RNA, 482 nt
Filed under: uncultured bacterium
Lineage: Bacteria
Description: partial 16S ribosomal RNA
Rfam family: Bacterial small subunit ribosomal RNA
Source: RNAcentral